UGGACGUUACUCGCAGAAUAAGCACCGGCUAACUCUGUGCCAGCAGCCGCGGUAAUACGAGAGGGUGCAAGCGUUAAUCGGAUUUACUGGGCGUAAAGCGCGCGCAGGCGGUCUUGUUAAGUCGGAUGUGAAAUCCCUGCACUUAACGUAGGAACUUGCAUUUGAUACUGGCGAAAGCUAGAGUCAUUGGAGAGGAUGGUAGAAUUCCAGGUGUAGCGGUGAAAUGCGUAGAGAUCUGGAGGAAUACCGGUGGCGAAGGCGAGCCCUCUGGACUAAUACUGACGCUCAGGUGCGAAAGCGUGGGGAGCAAACAGGAUUAGAUACCCUGGUAGUCCAUGCUCGUAACGAUGUCUACUUAGGCAGGUGGGGCCUUUGAGGCGUGUAGCUGCGCGCAGCUAACGCGUUAAGUCGACCGCCUGGGGAGUACGGCUCGCAAGGACUAAAACUCAAAUGAAUUGACGGGGGCCCGCACAAGCGGUGGAGCAUGUGGUUUAAUUCGAUGCAACGCGAAGAACCUUACCUACUCUUGACAUCCAGAAGAAUCUCUCUAGAGAUAGCUUAGGUGCCUUCGGGAACUCUCAUACAGGUGCUGCAUGGCUGUCGUCAGCUCGUGUUGUGAAAUGUUGGGUUAAGUCCCGCAACGAGCGCAACCCUUAUCCUUAGUUGCCAGCACGUAAUGGUGGGAACUUAAAGGAUACUGCCGGUGAUAAACCGGAGGAAGGCGGGGACGACGUCAAGUCAUCAUGGCCCUUACGAGCAGGGCUACACACGUGCUACAAUGGCGUGUACAAAGGGAAGCUACCUAGCGAUAGCAUGCUGAUCUCAUAAAGUCACCGUCGUAGUCCGGAUUGGAGUCUGCAACUCGACUCCAUGAAGUCGGAAUCGCUAGUAAUCGCGGAUCAGAAUGCUACGGUGAAUACGUUCCCGGGCCUUGUACACACCGCCCGUCACACCAUGGGAAUGGGUUGCAAAAGAAGUAGGUAGCUUAACCUUCGGGAGGACGCUUACCACUUUGUGAUUCAUGACUGGGGUGAAGUCGUAACAAGGUAGCCCGUA
This 1056-nucleotide ribosomal RNA is filed under the name Serratia liquefaciens. RNAcentral describes it as "bacterial SSU rRNA". It matches the Rfam family "Bacterial small subunit ribosomal RNA", at positions 469 to 1505 of the family's 1533-position model. The record is from RNAcentral. Lineage: Bacteria; Pseudomonadati; Pseudomonadota; Gammaproteobacteria; Enterobacterales; Yersiniaceae.